UACGAAGGGGGCUAGCGUUGCUCGGAAUUACUGGGCGUAAAGCGCACGUAGGCGGCUUUCUAAGUCGGGGGUGAAAUCCUGGAGCUCAACUCCAGAACUGCCUUCGAUACUGGAAAGCUCGAGUCCGGGAGAGGUGAGUGGAACUGCGAGUGUAGAGGUGAAAUUCGUAGAUAUUCGCAAGAACACCAGUGGCGAAGGCGGCUCACUGGCCCGGUACUGACGCUGAGGUGCGAAAGCGUGGGGAGCAAACAGG
RNAcentral lists this ribosomal RNA (253 nucleotides) under uncultured bacterium. Its description in RNAcentral is "partial 16S ribosomal RNA". It matches the Rfam family "Bacterial small subunit ribosomal RNA", at positions 524 to 776 of the family's 1533-position model. RNAcentral also lists the same sequence under 2 other names. The record is from RNAcentral.